RNAcentral lists this long non-coding RNA (5035 nucleotides) under Ovis aries (sheep). RNAcentral describes it as "lncRNA (ENSOARG00000025910.1)". The record is from RNAcentral. Lineage: Eukaryota; Metazoa; Chordata; Mammalia; Artiodactyla; Bovidae.
AUGCCACCUGCCAGGACAGCAACACAGGAGCUGCCUGUGCACUGUGGGCGCCCUGGCAAGCGCAAGGUUACAGCUUCAAGGUCAGGGCCGACCUCACAGUCUCAGCAAAGCCGGCUCUCUGGGGGCAGGACCCAGUGUGUCCCCAGCAUCAGCAGCCCUCGAGGCCGUGAACCUCUCCCGGGAACCGCCCAGAACAGACCGGGACGUGCAGAGCCGACCGGAGAGCCGCGGUGCCCUCACGCAGGACUCCGAGCCCUGGUGUCCCCCUCAGGAGGAGACGCUCCGUGCGCCACGGCACAGGAUGCCCUUGGGACAGGCGCCUCGGGGGCGUGCCCACUCACCUGCUGUGCAGCCUUGUCAGCCAGCAGCGCGAACUCCACGGACAGGCCUUUCAGCGCCUGUUUGAGGGACCCCCACGUGCUGCUGUUCAGCGAGGCCCAGGAGGGGAGCGGGGUCGUGUCAGACCCGAGAGCACUAAGGGAAGGGCGCCUGCCCCAGCGCCCUCCUUCACCAAAGCAGCACGCGGCGCCAGGGAGGCCUGGGGGCUCCCACCUCCCAGCACUUUCCUCGUCUGCAAUCAAGAUCCCUGUUCCACAGAAGCCAGUCCAGCCCCAGGGUUCAAAAGACCCACCCUCCCCACUCAGGGGCAGGAAAUCACAGCAAGCGUGCCCUGAACGUCUGGAAUGGGUCCCACAAAAGGGGCCGAUGGACAAGCACCCCAGAGAGAAGGCCGCAGGAUCUCUAGGCUCAAAGGCCCCUGUGGCCUCCGGGGAGUGUGUGCUAAGACGAGAGGUCAGGCGCAUGGGGAAUCCGCCUAUGGGGCUCGGGGCCCGCAGCCGUGCCGUCCACUCCAGCGUGGGAAGUCCUCCGCGGGGCCCCCUCUGCCCAUGCCUACGAGGAGAGGGUCCAUGGGGAACCGCCGGUGCCGGAGAAGGACUCGGACCUGGCACGCGGGGCCGCCACGGGAGCGCCUCCUCCACCGGGAGCAGGGCUGGAGCCCGGCUUCCUGCUCGACCAGANNNNNNNNNNNNNNNNNNNNNNNNNNNNNNNNNNNNNNNNNNNNNNNNNNNNNNNNNNNNNNNNNNNNNNNNNNNNNNNNNNNNNNNNNNNNNNNNNNNNNNNNACAGCACAGAGUCCCCCCUGGCCUUUCCUAAGUGCGCACACAUCCACGUCGGGGGCCGCUGGCCCACUGGCCAACCCCCAGCCACGGAGCCCCCUCCCGCGGAGCAGCUUCAAACCUCGGGGGCCUGCCGAGAAGCCACGGCUCCUCCCCAGCUGCCAACAGGCCCGACCCAACGCCUCCCACGCGACCAGGGAGACAGCCCUGCUCACGGCCACCCCGUGGAAACAGAACACGUUGGGGCCGAACCAGGGGAGCGAGCAGAGAGAACGAACCGAAACCACACAACAAAGAGAGCCGGGUGCCCCAGGUCCCCCCCAGCCCCCCCGGGUACUCACAGGGCCGCUGAAGGACAGGAAGAGCUUGAGGACCGCGUCCUCGGAGAAGGGCGGGUGCCGGGCCACCAGGUUGAUGAAGCGCUUCAGCGCCCGCCUCNNNNNNNNNNNNNNNNNNNNNNNNNNNNNNNNNNNNNNNNNNNNNNNNNNNNNNNNNNNNNNNNNNNNNNNNCCCCCCCCCACCCCCAACACCCACCACACCCCCCCCACCCACCCCCCACACACACACACCACACACACACACCACACACACAUACACACACACCACACACAUACACAUAUACACACACACAUGUGCUCUUAGUUCACCAAUGACUUAAUCCCCAGGAAAAACAACACGUCCCACCUGAACUGCGGACAGGCCAAGGACAAAAGACCAACGCGCCACCGGGCAGCCCGCGCACGGCCACCGGGGCCAGGAUUGCGGCACCCGCGCGCUCACCCGGCCUGGGUUUCCUGCCCACGUCACUUCUACUCUCUCACGAGCACAGACUCCCUCACGUGGGUUAAGUGAUUUCACUUUGAGGGAGGGAAAUAAGUAAAAGCGCACAGUGACGUCCUGAGGGUGUUUCAAUCUGACCACAAAUGAAAACGGUAUUUUUUUUUUAAUUAUAAUAUUUUGAGAAAGACCUCUGCUUUACACAGCAGCAUGAACUUUAUAUUACGUAUUGUGUGCAGGCGGGCUCAGCCACGUCUAGCUCUGUGACCCCGUGAACUGUAGCCGCCAGGCUCCUCCAUCCAUGCAACUUUCCAGGCAAGAACACUGGAGUGGGCUGCCAUUUCCUCCUCCACGAAAAUGGUAUUUAAAGUAUCACUUGGGGAAACUCGCUGGCGACCUAGUGGUUAAGACCCCGAGUUUCCACUUCGGGGCAUGGGUUCGAUUCCUGGUCAGAGCUAAGAUCCCACAUGCCACGCAGCAUGGCCGAAGUAUUAAAAUUCUAAAUCACUGGAGGAAACUUGAAUUAGGAUAGCCCCGCGAAGGCCACACGUUCACAAAGGCUUGGCACAGGAGCCAGCCUUCGAGGCCUCCACACGCCCACGACGCCCAGGCCACAGCGCAGCCCGGGGCCACCUCCUAGCAUCCUCUUGGGCGGCAGGGCAGGCACCAUGCGGUACGGGAACUUGUGCAGCAGCGCCUCGUGGAAGACCACGAAGUCGUUGUAGCGGCGGCGCACACAGGACUCGAAGCGCUGCGGGAAGAGGGCGCAGGCUCAGAGUCCUCCUCAGACACCCUCUCCCUCACCACCUCCCCCGGCCCGCGCUUCCCGCCACUAAGCCGGACCCAGGGAGACAGCCUGAGAAAAUUCCCUACGUUUCUCACCAGGCCUUUUCCUAAGGGGGGAAUCCCAUACGUCCUCAAUGGAUGGAGAUACAACCUUUAAACACUGCACAGCUCUAACUGCGCGCUUAAUUAACCUAUUCUCUGGGUCUUCUGUCAGAUGCAAGCCUCCUUACGGGAGUUUUCAACCACACAGCAGCAUCUCCCGUCUGGGGGUGUCACGUGAGGACAGCUUUUAAGGUCUGUCUUCAACAUGAGCUCUCCAACAGCGCUAACACAAGCGGCCUCCUGAAAGAGACCCGACUGCCCGAAAGCAGCUCAGACGCUGAGCACCAAUCCUGAGACACGGGAGACUCGUGACUCAGACAAAGCCACCAACAGGCUAGACCAGGAGCCGCCCAUGAGAAGCCUGCAGGCUCCACAGGACACGCGGCCUCGUGGGGGUCGCAUGGACGCACUCACGCGAGACCCAGGCGCCCAGCACGCUACCAAGAGUGCUCAAUACCGUCACCGAGAGUGGAGGACGUCUGAGACGGCGACAGGCCGUGUGAGGCCAACAAGAGGAUGCUCGGGGAAGACAAAGCUGCGGAGGCAGAGAGAGGCCAGGCGCGCCCGGGGGCGGGCGGGGGGGGGGCACGGAGGGGCGACACAGGGGGGCCCCGGGGGCGAGGAGGCACAACAACACAGCGGCGAGGGUGACUCUCGGGGACGCGGUGACAAGGAGGCGGCCAGGCAGGCUCACCAGCCGAAACAAACGCUCCAUCUGCUGGGGUGCUGACUGCGGGUGGGGAACACGGGAAAUCUGUUCCCUCCCCUCAAUCCUGCUGUGAACCUAAAAACACAUUUAACUUUUUGCACGCUUAACAGAAGGGGAAAAGUGAAGUGGUGAUGCAUUUCAUUUUCUUGCGCUCCAAAAUCACUGCAGACGGUGACUGCAGCCAUGAAAUUAAAAGACACUUGCUCCUUGUAAGGAAAGCUAUGACCAACCCAGACAACAUAUUAAAAAGCAGAGACAUAACUUUACCAAAGUCCGUAUAGUCAAAGUUAAAAAGCAGAGACAUAACUUUACCAACAAAAGUCCGUAUAGUCAAAGCUAUGGUUUUUCCAGUGGUCAUGUAUGCAUGUGAGAGUUGGACCAUAAUGAAGGCUGAGUGCUGAAGAACUGAUGUUUUUUAACUGCGGUACUGGAGAAGACUUUGAGACUCCCCUUGAACUGCAAGGAGAUCAAAUCCAUCAAUCCUAAAAGAAGUCAGCCCUGAAUAUUCAUCGGAAGAACUGAUGCUGAAGCUCCAAUACUUGGGUCACCUGAUGAGAAGAGCCGACUGAUUAGAAAAGAGCCUGACGCUGGGAAAUACUGAAGGUGGGAGAAGGGGGCGACAGAGGAUGAGAUGGUCGGAUGGCAUCACCGACUCGAUGACAUGGGUCUGAGUGAGCUCCAGGAGACAGUGAAGGGCAAGGAACCCUGGCAUGCUGCAGUCCAUGGGGUCGCGAAGAGCUGGACAUGACUUACUGAUCGAACCAUGACGACCCGUAGGCCGUGAGCUACCCAGCACAGCCCACGCGGCUGCGUGCCCACGUCUGCACCAACUCCGACUCCAGCAAGCAGGCAAGCAGCGGGCACAGCCCGGUGAGUCCCCACCUCCUGCCCCGAGGUCCCAACCUUAGCAGGCUCACCCCUUCGCCCACAUUUCAGGAGGCGACCUGGACAGAUCGGCCUCCUGCUAAAAAUGCUGACCAUGAGGUCAUCCACUGACUUAAGGAACGGGCCGUUCAACAAGACUAAAGACAAGGCCGCUGUCCUGGUGGGGCAGCGUGUCGCACACGCGGGAGCCCAGCCCACGGGUGAUGCGGCCCCAGGGGAGGCACUGAGGCCUCCAACCCCACUGCGGCUACAGAUGCCAGGGGGCAGUGGUGCCCGCCAGCAACGCUGUCCUCUAAACAAGGGAGGGCCUCCUUCCCUCACUGACCUCAGCCGCCUCCAUCGGCAGCGGAGCAAAGUUUAGUUCCAGGCUCCCCUCACUGUUCAAAACACAGGCAAAAAUGCUGCGAUCCUUAACUUCCACGCGACAGCCGUCCACCGUGGGGAACUUGCUCCCACACGGACACGUGCCUUUCUGCCCGCUCCCCCGGCCUGAGCCCUCCAGGGCUGCGACCCGAGUCUGUAACCCGGCUGGGGUGGCCACUCUAACCCUGCAGGCUCCCCUCUGCUCCCCCCACCACACACACACACACCACACACACACACCACACACACACACAUACACACACACACACACAUACACACACACACCACACACACAC